ACAUCAGUGAGGUACAUCCUUACCUGUUAUCUUAGAAAUAAGGUUUCAGAACAUGAUGAUUGGAUUCAUAUGAAGACAUGAUUAUUAUCUGUGUUCAUUUUGGAUAGCAACUCCUUAAUGAAUCCUAUCUGAA
Small nucleolar RNA from Misgurnus anguillicaudatus (oriental weatherfish), 133 nucleotides. RefSeq annotates it as U8 small nucleolar RNA. The record is from RefSeq and is a predicted model, not a curated record. Lineage: Eukaryota; Metazoa; Chordata; Actinopteri; Cypriniformes; Cobitidae.